GCAGGAUUGGACAAAACAAGAUGGCAGACGGCAGUUCCAAACAAAGAUCCAGUCAGGAGCGGACUUCCUUAAGCUUAAAAGUUGCAAGUGAAUGAAGUGUGUUCUAUUUUAUGUCUCCUACUAAAACCAUGGUUUUGACAAACCUAAAAGAGCACGUGGAGCAAGGAACUAUCAGUAAAACGAAAGAGCCAGCUGGCUCGAAAAUCUUUAAGUGUUUGAGAAUUUUACCACGCACAUGAAUCUAAAGUUCUGCCACACGUUAGAAGGAGCCUUGUUCUCGAAGAUCAACAUGUUGAAACGUCUUCAUUUUGCAGAAGCAAAUACAUUUAUAUUGUAUAUACACAUGUAGACUAUGUUCGAUUCCCAACCACUUAACAUUUGUGAUAUCUGCAUGGAAUUAUUAAAACUAAGCAUGGUUUGACGUAUAAUAAUCUCUUCAGGCAUGAUGGUUUACAUUUCACAAAGCUGUUCAAUGACAAUAAAGACAAUAAGAUGU
Ostrea edulis (European flat oyster) is the source of this 496-nucleotide long non-coding RNA. RefSeq lists it as uncharacterized. The record is from RefSeq and is a predicted model, not a curated record. NCBI's taxonomy places the organism in Eukaryota, Metazoa, Mollusca, Bivalvia, Ostreida, Ostreidae. The transcript has 2 exons.